RNAcentral lists this ribosomal RNA (565 nucleotides) under uncultured bacterium. RNAcentral describes it as "partial 16S ribosomal RNA". It matches the Rfam family "Bacterial small subunit ribosomal RNA", at positions 355 to 941 of the family's 1533-position model. The record is from RNAcentral.
UGGGGAAUAUUGGACAAUGGGCGCAAGCCUGAUCCAGCCAUGCCGCGUGAGUGAUGAAGGCCUUAGGGUUGUAAAGCUCUUUUGUCCGGGAAGAUAAUGACUGUACCGGAAGAAUAAGCCCCGGCUAACUUCGUGCCAGCAGCCGCGGUAAUACGAAGGGGGCUAGCGUUGCUCGGAAUCACUGGGCGUAAAGGGCGCGUAGGCGGACUCUUAAGUCGGGGGUGAAAGCCCAGGGCUCAACCCUGGAAUUGCCUUCGAUACUGAGAGUCUUGAGUUCGGAAGAGGUUGGUGGAACUGCGAGUGUAGGGGUGAAAUUCGUAGAUAUUCGCAAGAACACCAGUGGCGAAGGCGGCCAACUGGUCCGAUACUGACGCUGAGGCGCGAAAGCNUGGGGAGCAAACAGGAUUAGAUACCCUGGUAGUCCACGCCGUAAACGAUGAAUGCCAGCCGUUGGGGAGCAUGCUCUUCAGUGGCGCAGCUAACGCUUUAAGCAUUCCGCCUGGGGGAGUACGGUCGCAAGAUUAAAACUCAAAGGGAAUUGACGGGGUCAUAGCUGUUUUCCAUG